UUCUGUGGGGUCACAGGAUUUAAAAUGGAAAGUGGACUGUGAGAGUUAAGCUAUGCCUGCAAAACAAACCACAAUCUCUCAUGUUAACAUGAACUGGUUAAUUUCCUUUAUUUUUCCUGCCACGACUUUGAUGGAAUAAGGCCUCUGAGACAGUACCAGAUGCCCUCAGGUAUCACUCACCACUCAGGGGUCUCCUUCGUUACCUCACUUCAGCUUCCCAGUCACAGAGCAAUCCUGUGGAUCCUGAUGAUUUUACAAGUUCGUUUCCAAUGACAGUGUUUGAGUCCCUGGCUUGUAUACUCUACGGGAACGGUAAAACGGUCGAGGAGUUUCCUUGUUGUGGAACCUCAGAGAACCAGACCAAAUCAGUUCCUCAGGGGACCUUGGAAAGUGUUCAUUAAAAAUAUUUAAUAUUCUGGGAAAGAUUUUGUUCCUAGGAUUCUUAUCUGUGCAUCUGGAUCAUUAAUUGGUAUUGGCCCAUAAACUGCUUCAUUCCCUUAUCUAACACACUGAUGGAUUUCACACGAGUGAAGGUUAGAAGCUCAUUAGCACUUUGGUUUUUGUGUUAGUCUCAGAGAAUCUGGAAAUAGAGGCCUCAGCAUAACUACCACAAUUAAGUUUCUUAACAGUAACAAAACACUUAUUCAUUAAAUAUGAUCAAAAUAAUCUCUGUCCAGCUAUAACUUGUGCUUUACGUGAAAUUUUGAUAGCAAGUAAUGUAUAUCAGCCUAGAAAUUUAAUAUCAUCUUGCCAAGGUUAAUGUGAUGUUAGAACUGUGUCUUAGAUGCAGGAGUUACAACGCACAUACAUUUAUCUUAGUGGGUGCAUCUACAUAUGAACUAAGGUGAAGAAAUAAACUUUGGCAUGAUUUGUGCCACGGUCAGCUGCUCCCAGGCACAGCAUUUACAUGUAUGCCUGGGACUACAGCACUUUGAGCUGGCAGGGAGCACAGAGUCGGGUGGAAGGGGCAGCUUAACCCUGGGUUCUGGGUGGUGGCAUUAGGCAAAAGACGGGCUGGCUGGGGCACAAGGGUGCUACACUGUAGGCCGAGGUGGCAGGCAGCCCCACCCCACUUAAUCACCCUCAUGCCCCAGCCAACCCCUGUCACCAUCUAUCUGUGCAUUGUAGUGCAUAUAACUAGACUAGUCCACCACAAGACAGUACCGUCCCCGACAGUACUAUCUUACAGCAGAUUUAGUUACUGCACCCUAAUACUGGAGCAUGCAUAGGUAGUGCCACUUUACUGUGGAGCCAAUUAGUCGACUCCACAGUAAAGCGCAUGUGUAGAUGCACCCAGUGUGAACUACAUUACUUUGUGUAUGUAUGCUGUUCAAAACUAACCCCAUGAUAAAUUCUAUUUGAUUGUUUCCAGUUGUUUCUUUUCCUUAUUUAGGUCUUAAUUUUUUUAUUUUUUGCCAAGGGGAAACUUGACAUUUACUACAUUAUGCACUCCAAAUAAACUUAUUAUAAACUCAAAUAAAUUCCAAAUCUUGCUGUGCCAGAUAUUUCUCCUAGAUGUUCACAGACUAAUAUUACUUUUAUUAAGGUAUAGGGAGGAAAGAAGGAUCACUAGCUAUUAUAACAGAAGUUGUUUGUAGCUUAAGUUGAAACCUUGAGGAUAAGAACAAUACAAACAAACCCCGAAGCCGCGGUGGGGAGUCUUGUUUUCUUAAAGUAAAAGUAUGAUGACUUAUGACUGUAAAUUAAUCUUGUUUAUACAUCGUCUGUACCAGUGAUCAUGGGUACAAAACUCAGCAGUAGUUAGAUACUUUAAAAGGAGUUAACGCUCCACUUCUGAAUACCAAUGUGGUUUCAAAGGCACAGCUCCAUACUACUUUCUUUGUAUUCCUUUCUUUAUUUCUUCAAAUGUAUGUACCAUAUGGAGAACAAUUAAGCAGUCUACUUGAUCAAUCUGAAUGCAUCUGGAAAACAUUAUUCAAAUCUAUUUUUUUUUUUCAAUUAUGUUGCAAUCUAAAAGCAAUAAUCAUGGAAACUUCAUUUGUCUUCUCUCCCUCUUCCUUUUCCUCCUUUAAGUGGCUUUGCAUUACAAUAAAGAAAUAAACUCACACAACAUUAAUUCACAGCAGGGACAACUAAUUCUUUUUUGUACACCCCCUUUCUCAAAACAAACCACAUUUGUAACAACUCCGUAUGCCACAAUGAUUCUCCACAAUGCAGAUAACAUGCUGCAUGAAGAAGAUGCAAGAAGACGUUGCUCUAAAGUAUGCUUGCAAAGUUGCACUAAGAAUAAAAGUUGUUCAGUUAAAAUUAGUAGAGAGAAAACCUGCUUGAACUAUGUAAAAUUAACAUAUCUUUGAGGUUUUUAAUUAGUAAUAAUAGAAUGAUCUUUAAAAAUGUGGGAUUUGUAUUUAUUUUGCAAGUUAUUGAAACUCCCGAGAUAAUCUUUUAUUGUUGCUUCUCUGAUUGUUGUUUAGCACAAAUAAAGAAGGAUUACUGAAGAGCAUAGCACUAGCUCUGUGUAAUGUUGUAAAUGUCUGUAAUUAAGCAGGUCAUUUCCUCAGCUAAACAAAAUAUGUUCUAGGUCUAUGGA
Long non-coding RNA from Alligator mississippiensis (American alligator), 2551 nucleotides. RefSeq lists it as uncharacterized. The record is from RefSeq and is a predicted model, not a curated record. Lineage: Eukaryota; Metazoa; Chordata; Crocodylia; Alligatoridae. The transcript is spliced from 3 exons.